GGAUAUGAGGGAAACCUGGCCGAGACACCUGUCACCCCACUGAGUGCCAGGGUUGACUCGGCCGAUCAGGCUGACUGGGCAGGUGUCCCCUUCCUCCCUUAGCAUUCCAUGUGCGUCAGUCGAGGAGGGCGACCCUACCCGGUAGAGGGGACGUGUUCUUCGGUCAAGGGUAUACAAGUAGCUGAGCUCUCCUAAUAGAACCUCCAGACAAGCUCUCGAAUAAAUUACUCUGAUGACAAAUAAAACUGCUGGAAUCUAAAAUUAUUUCUGCAAGGCCAAUUGUUACAGAACACUCAUUCUU
Molecule: small nuclear RNA, 301 nt
Filed under: Propithecus coquereli (Coquerel's sifaka)
Lineage: Eukaryota; Metazoa; Chordata; Mammalia; Primates; Indriidae
Description: 7SK RNA (ENSPCOG00000011520.1)
Rfam family: 7SK RNA
About the family: 7SK was discovered as an abundant small nuclear RNA in the mid-70s but a possible function has only recently been suggested. Two independent studies have found that 7SK RNA binds the CDK9/cyclin T complex (known as elongation factor P-TEFb).
Source: RNAcentral